AGAAUGUUUGUUGGGAAAGUUUACAACAAAAUGACAAGGCCCAGUAUACUGUUUGUCGUCACCUUGGAUACUACGAUGUACACUUUCUUGUUAAUAUAUCCACUCCAACGGAUGCCAAAAAUGCAACAUUUUCUGGAAGUAUAAACUGUAAUAGUGGAGACAAAUACUUAUCCCAGUGUUCAAUUACUGCUUCGGCCAGCGAAAGUUGUUCUGAGUUAUCAUACAUACAGUGU
Molecule: non-coding RNA, 233 nt
Organism: Paramuricea clavata
Lineage: Eukaryota; Metazoa; Cnidaria; Anthozoa; Malacalcyonacea; Plexauridae
Source: the annotation of a GenBank genome assembly